This 465-nucleotide ribosomal RNA is filed under the name uncultured bacterium. Its description in RNAcentral is "bacterial SSU rRNA". It matches the Rfam family "Bacterial small subunit ribosomal RNA", at positions 328 to 792 of the family's 1533-position model. The record is from RNAcentral.
UACCCAGACUCCUACGGGAGGCAGCAGUGGGGAAUAUUGCACAAUGGGGGAAACCCUGAUGCAGCGACGCCGCGUGAGUGAAGAAGUAUUUCGGUCUGUAAAGCUCUAUCAGCAGGGAAGAAAUACUGACCUUACGGUCAGCAGACGGUACCUGACUAAGAAGCCCCGGCUAACUACGUGCCAGCAGCCGCGGUAAUACGUAGGGGGCAAGCGUUAUCCGGAUUUACUGGGUGUAAAGGGAGCGUAGACGGCAGCGCAAGUCUGAAGUGAAAUCCCAUGGCUUAACCAUGGAACUGCUUUGGAAACUGUGCGGCUGGAGUGCAGGAGAGGUAAGCGGAAUUCCUAGUGUAGCGGUGAAAUGCGUAGAUAUUAGGAGGAACACCAGUGGCGAAGGCGGCUUACUGGACUGUAACUGACGUUGAGGCUCGAAAGCGUGGGGAGCAAACAGGAUUAGAUACCCCGGUA